RNAcentral lists this long non-coding RNA (393 nucleotides) under Mytilus galloprovincialis (Mediterranean mussel). The record is from RNAcentral. Lineage: Eukaryota; Metazoa; Mollusca; Bivalvia; Mytilida; Mytilidae.
GUGCAUUGAAGGUGGUGGAUGUGUUUUUAUAUCGUGCGACAAUUUUUACCUUUCACAGAGUACGUGAACAUCUUAUUGGGCUGAAAGUGCAGGAAUACGCAUACAAUACAUAUUUAUCACUUACUUAAAAAGAAAAUUGCAAUUAAUUGAUCACAUUUCCAAUUUUUCCAACAAAAAAACAAAUUUUACCUGACGCGCCAAUCAUUCAAAAUGGCGGGCUUUUACAAAAGUUAAUACUGCAGCCAUGUGUGCCUUAAAAUUACUUAAUAAGUAAUAAGUUCAUUCCAUUUGCUUAUAUUACAUAUUAUCCUACGCAUAUUUCCUUUAAAAUUUUAUUAUUUUAAGUGCACUUGACCGAUUUUACAUUUUUUUUUCACUGGCCACGUGCGUUUG